AGGAUUAUAAUUUAAUAUAAAAUAUUUGAAUUGCAAUCAAAAAUUACUUUUAAUAAGUUAAUCUUA
RNAcentral lists this transfer RNA (66 nucleotides) under Trachelus tabidus. Its description in RNAcentral is "tRNA-Ala". Lineage: Eukaryota; Metazoa; Arthropoda; Insecta; Hymenoptera; Cephidae. The record is from RNAcentral.